UCCAGUUUAACACUGGCAGUCCCUCUAGAGUGCCCAACUUAAUGAUGGCAACAAGAGGCGUGGGUUGCGCUCGUUACGGGACUUAACCCAACAUCUCACGACACGAGCUGACGACAGCCAUGCAGCACCUGUCUCUCUGUCCCCGAAGGGAAAACCAACUUUCGCUGGCGGUCAAAGGAUGUCAAGACCAGGAUAAGGUUCUUCGCGUUGCGUCGAAUUAAACCACAUGCUCCACUGCUUGUGCGGGUCCCCGUCAAUUUCUUUGAGUUUUAAUCUUGCGACCGUACUCCCCAGGCGGGAUGCUUAACGCGUUAGCUUCGUUACUGCACGAGUGUUGACACCCAUCCAACAACAAGCAUCCAUCGUUUACGGCGUGGACUAC
RNAcentral lists this unclassified non-coding RNA (382 nucleotides) under uncultured Pseudobdellovibrionaceae bacterium. RNAcentral's name for it is "uncultured Bdellovibrionaceae bacterium contains 16S-23S intergenic spacer region". Lineage: Bacteria; Pseudomonadati; Bdellovibrionota; Bdellovibrionia; Bdellovibrionales; Pseudobdellovibrionaceae. The record is from RNAcentral.